AUUCAAGAACUUAUGUGUGAAUUUUGUGUUUUGAAUUAAAGGUAGAGGUAAUUAUGAGGCUCUCGGGCCAUGUUAUGUUAAUGGUCAUACACAGACCACUGAGAAAAGGAAGAAUAAAGUACCUCAACUAAAAAGCUCUUUGGGAUGUUAUAAAAGCAAAGAAAAGGAGGAACAGAGGAAUGAAAAAUGUUGAUCCCAAUACUUGCAUUCCUUCAACAAAGAAGAUUGAAUUACUCAAGUUUUGGGGUAGAUCUUUUGACUGCCGAUGUCUUUGUGUGAUAUAAUCAUUUAAGAACUUACAAUGGAACGAUGAGUAUGCUACAACCACUAAGAGAAAAGCCACGAUAGAGAAAUGUAUAUCCAAGAGACUUAUGAUAAGUAACUUCAAAAAACAUUAUUAGGCGGUUUAUUUAUUUAUAAUAGCAAUAUUAUUGGCUAUUAAUUUUGUUCACAGGAGCAGUCUCAAUUGACAUCAAUGGAUCAUGUGAGAGGGGUAAAUGUUGCAAACUUAGCUGCUAUGGAGCAAAGUCGUAUGCUUGCUAAUACAUUAGCUCAGAACAAUGAUCUUAAAUUUCAGGUUUGCAAGCUAUGUUGUGCUGCCACUCUAUGAUUCUCUUGUUUUCAACAUGAAGAUAUUCUUCUGCAUGUGUUUAUUGCUUCUAACUGUCAUAUAUAUUUUUUCCAUGUCUUUUUGAGUGUGUGUGAUGAUACAAGUAUUGUGAUCGAUACACUUUUCGUUGAUUACAAUUAUGCAUAUGUUGUUGGGCCGUUAGUUUCUGGAACUUACUCAUCUUUUAAGAUGUUUGAAGAAGGGAAAUCAAUGGCAAACUACCAUUUAGAUUUUUAGGUAUUUAUUAUAUUAGUGUUCCAUUUUGUAAUUCUUGCAUUUGAUUAUUACCCAUUGAAUGCUCUUGAAAUGAAAAGAUGGUUCUUUGUCUCAAUUUCAUUGUUUAAGAUUCACUGGUGCACAUUCUGUUCAAUAAUUUAAUUUUCUUUAUUGUGUUUCAAAAUAUUAGAAUCAUAUUUCAGUAUUUUAUGUAUUUUGAUGUUAUGUAUUGACAAAGCAAGUCCUUUUGUUCUGGUUGUUAUAAUUAUACAGUUCUUGGGUGUGGUAAAAAUUCAUUCUUUAUGUUAUCUUUACUGAUAUUAGGAUGUGAAUGUAUUAUUAAUUGGAUUUUAAUUUCAAACAAUUUAGUAAUAUAUUUUUAGUUGCAAUUAUAAAUUAGGUGUAUGCAAUUUCACUAUAAUUCAAUGUUGUGUCAAACUAUGAGAGUCUUUCUUUAAUGUUUCAUUAUUUAAAUUAGGGGUAUGAGACAUACAUAUUUGACAUCUGGUGAAAUUUUUUAGACUUGUUUAUUUCAGUUGACUAGCACCGUAGCACAUAUGGUGAUCUUGUAUAAAAGCUCUGAUUUUAUCUAAUAACAUACUUACACAUUUAUAUAUGUAAAAAUUUAUAUGCCAAUACAAACCACACGUUUUAUGUGAGCUUUACAUAUUUGGCAUAUUUGUCUCGUUUACUGUAUAAAUAUAUAGACAUCCAUAUUAAUAUAUAGACACAUCCAGAUUCUUAAUUCAUAGUUAGUUUCUUAACAUUUGUAAAUAUUUAUUUACUAAUUAUUUUUUUUGUUUAAAAAAUGCAUUGAUGAGCAAAUGAGAAAAGCUUGGAAGGGUCAUAAGUAGAAGCUGCACUUAUAUUUCAAAGAAAUUGGAGGAGAAAAUGAUCUUGAGAUGACCAAGAGCAAACGUCAUCCAGACUUAAAAGAAGAACAGCAAGAAGAUUGGAUGAUUUUGUGUGAUCGUUGGUGUUCUCCUGAAUUUAAGGUAGCAUUUUUUAUGGCACCGCCUCCACCACCUCCAACAGACCAAGCUUCAGAUGCAAAUUUAAGAGAGUCGCCAUCUUUUUCAGUUCGGGAGUCACAAGAUGAUUCUUAGUUUAUUUACAUUAAUUUACUAAGGAAUGAACUUUAUAAAGUUUUUAUUUUUAUUUUGGUAGGGUAACCUUAAAAGGAUAACUUUAUGACUUAUUAUAGUAUUGAACACUAUAAAGAAUUUUAGCAUUAAACAUUUUAUUA
Molecule: long non-coding RNA, 2072 nt
Organism: Humulus lupulus (European hop)
Lineage: Eukaryota; Viridiplantae; Streptophyta; Magnoliopsida; Rosales; Cannabaceae
Exons: 3
Source: RefSeq, a predicted model, not a curated record